This 25-nucleotide non-coding RNA is filed under the name Mus musculus (house mouse). The record is from RNAcentral. Lineage: Eukaryota; Metazoa; Chordata; Mammalia; Rodentia; Muridae.
CAAAUCUGUCACACUAACCCCCAAC